AUUGAACGCUGGCGGCAUGCUUUACACAUGCAAGUCGAACGGCAGCGCGGGCUUCGGCCUGGCGGCGAGUGGCGAACGGGUGAGUAAUGCAUCGGAACGUGCCCAGUAGUGGGGGAUAGCCCGGCGAAAGCCGGAUUAAUACCGCAUACGACCUGAGGGUGAAAGCGGGGGACCGAAAGGCCUCGCGCUAUUGGAGCGGCCGAUGUCGGAUUAGCUAGUUGGUGGGGUAAAGGCUUACCAAGGCGACGAUCCUUAGCUGGUCUGAGAGGACGACCAGCCACACUGGGACUGAGACACGGCCCAGACUCCUACGGGAGGCAGCAGUGGGGAAUUUUGGACAAUGGGGGCAACCCUGAUCCAGCCAUGCCGCGUGCGGGAAGAAGGCCUUCGGGUUGUAAACCGCUUUUGUUCGGGAAGAAAUCCUCUGGGCUAAUACCCCGGGGGGAUGACGGUACCGGAAGAAUAAGCACCGGCUAACUACGUG
RNAcentral lists this ribosomal RNA (484 nucleotides) under uncultured bacterium. RNAcentral describes it as "partial 16S ribosomal RNA". It matches the Rfam family "Bacterial small subunit ribosomal RNA", at positions 28 to 507 of the family's 1533-position model. The record is from RNAcentral.